This is a long non-coding RNA of Myodes glareolus (Bank vole), 858 nucleotides long. RefSeq lists it as uncharacterized. The record is from RefSeq and is a predicted model, not a curated record. Lineage: Eukaryota; Metazoa; Chordata; Mammalia; Rodentia; Cricetidae.
AAAGAUUAAUGAACACAGGCUCCCUUCCAAUUGUUUUGGUUUGGUUUUCACCUUAUAACGGCAUGGCCCCUGGAAAGACCGCUUUCGUUAGGACCGCUUCGAAACCUACUGGAGGUUGCCGUUUCUAGCUCAGUGUGAGAGCACUCGUCUAGCAUGUGGAGACUCUGGGUUCCAACCCAGCAUCAAAAGCAAAGCAAAACAAACAACUUUUCUUUCUGUGCUAAGACCGGACCUGGCGUAAACAGGCAGGGGCAACAGCACGCGGAAGCACGCUGGUGAGUUCCUGACUAUCCUCGGGGCCUCUGCUCUCUGCAAUUCCCUCUGCUUGAUGAGGCUUACUUGACCAGUGGUCAUUCAUCCAUCUGUGUAUCUGGAGCCGGUCCCGCACCUUGAUUCCCUAAGUCCUGUGCCUCUGCAGCUCCACUGAAGCCUGUGGUCCAGGCUUAACCCGAUGGUGGUAUAGCAACACUGUAUACCUCCAGCAGCUUUACUGCCAAGACCUCAGCAUCUUUUCUAACCACUACGGUCCACAGAGACGUGAACUGGCUUCCUGUGCUUCUGUCCCCAUCCCUGAGCCGUCAGCUACCACACUGACAAGAUGGACUAUACUCACAAUGAGACAAAACAAAUCUUUCCUCCCUUGGAAAAAAGGAAAGUCACAAGGAAGGAAUGUUCUUUCUAGAUGCAGUGUGACUAGCCUGCUCAUGCUCCUGCUGCUGAGACUUCCCCACCACGACGGACGGACGACAGCCUUGAACCGUGAGCCAACAUAAAGCCUUCUUUCCUUCCAUUGUUCUGUCUCAGAGAUGUGAAACCAAGGAAAGUGGCCAGGAGCUACCGAGCCAGCCCACAUUUACC